RNAcentral lists this ribosomal RNA (460 nucleotides) under uncultured bacterium. RNAcentral's name for it is "partial 16S ribosomal RNA". It matches the Rfam family "Bacterial small subunit ribosomal RNA", at positions 338 to 795 of the family's 1533-position model. The record is from RNAcentral.
CCUACGGGUGGCAGCAGUGAGGAAUAUUGGACAAUGGACGAGAGUCUGAACCAGCCAAGUAGCGUGAAGGAUGACUGCCCUAUGGGUUGUAAACUUCUUUUAUAUGGGAAUAAAACGUUCCACGUGUGGGAUUUUGUAUGUACCAUAUGAAUAAGGAUCGGCUAACUCCGUGCCAGCAGCCGCGGGAAUACGGAGGAUCCGAGCGUUAUCCGGAUUUAUUGGGUUUAAAGGGAGCGUAGGUGGAUUGUUAAGUCAGUUGUGAAAGUUUGCGGCUCAACCGUAAAAUUGCAGUUGAAACUGGCAGUCUUGAGUACAGUAGAGGUGGGCGGAAUUCGUGGUGUAGCGGUGAAAUGCUUAGAUAUCACGAAGAACUCCGAUUGCGAAGGCAGUUCACUGGACUGCAACUGACACUGAGGCUCGAAAGUGUGGGUAUCAAACAGGAUUAGAUACCCGAGUAGUC